RNAcentral lists this ribosomal RNA (508 nucleotides) under uncultured bacterium. RNAcentral's name for it is "bacterial SSU rRNA". It matches the Rfam family "Bacterial small subunit ribosomal RNA", at positions 337 to 841 of the family's 1533-position model. The record is from RNAcentral.
UCCUACGGGAGGCAGCAGUGAGGAAUAUUGGUCAAUGGAGGCAACUCUGAACCAGCCAUGCCGCGUGAAGGAUGACGGCCCUAUGGGUUGUAAACUUCUUUUGAAUAGGAAGAAACUUAUCUACGUGUAGAUAACUGACGGUACUAUUAGAAUAAGGAUCGGCUAACUCCGUGCCAGCAGCCGCGGUAAUACGGAGGAUCCAAGCGUUAUCCGGAUUCAUUGGGUUUAAAGGGUCCGUAGGCGGGUCUUUAAGUCAGUGGUGAAAGCCGACAGCUCAACUGUCGAACUGCCAUUGAUACUGGAGACCUUGAGUACAAAUGAAGUAGGCGGAAUGAGUCAUGUAGCGGUGAAAUGCAUAGAUAUGACUCAGAACACCGAUUGCGAAGGCAGCUUACUAACAUGUAACUGACGCUGAGGGACGAAAGCGUGGGGAGCGAACAGGAUUAGAUACCCUGGUAGUCCACGCCGUAAACGAUGAGUGCUAAGUGUUAGGGGGUUUCCGCCCUUU